Molecule: non-coding RNA, 24 nt
Filed under: Arabidopsis thaliana (thale cress)
Lineage: Eukaryota; Viridiplantae; Streptophyta; Magnoliopsida; Brassicales; Brassicaceae
Source: RNAcentral
UCCAAAUUGCAUAAACACAAGCCU